RNAcentral lists this ribosomal RNA (718 nucleotides) under uncultured Bacilli bacterium. RNAcentral's name for it is "bacterial SSU rRNA". It matches the Rfam family "Bacterial small subunit ribosomal RNA", at positions 28 to 731 of the family's 1533-position model. The record is from RNAcentral. Lineage: Bacteria; Bacillati; Bacillota; Bacilli.
GACGAACGCUGGCGGCGUGCCUAAUACAUGCAAGUAGAACGCUGAAGGAGGAGCUUGCUUCUCCGGAUGAGUUGCGAACGGGUGAGUAACGCGUAGGUAACCUGCCUGGUAGCGGGGGAUAACUAUUGGAAACGAUAGCUAAUACCGCAUAAGAGUAGAUGCUGCAUGACAUUUGCUUAAAAGGUGCAAUUGCAUCACUACCAGAUGGACCUGCGUUGUAUUAGCUAGUUGGUGGGGUAACGGCUCACCAAGGCGACGAUACAUAGCCGACCUGAGAGGGUGAUCGGCCACACUGGGACUGAGACACGGCCCAGACUCCUACGGGAGGCAGCAGUAGGGAAUCUUCGGCAAUGGACGGAAGUCUGACCGAGCAACGCCGCGUGAGUGAAGAAGGUUUUCGGAUCGUAAAGCUCUGUUGUAAGAGGAGAACGAGUGUGAGAGUGGAAAGUUCACACUGUGACGGUAUCUUACCAGAAAGGGACGGCUAACUACGUGCCAGCAGCCGCGGUAAUACGUAGGUCCCGAGCGUUGUCCGGAUUUAUUGGGCGUAAAGCGAGCGCAGGCGGUUAGAUAAGUCUGAAGUUAAAGGCUGUGGCUUAACCAUAGUACGCUUUGGAAACUGUUUAACUUGAGUGCAAGAGGGGAGAGUGGAAUUCCAUGUGUAGCGGUGAAAUGCGUAGAUAUAUGGAGGAACACCGGUGGCGAAAGCGGCUCUCUG